This 446-nucleotide ribosomal RNA is filed under the name Lachnospiraceae bacterium oral taxon 082. RNAcentral's name for it is "bacterial SSU rRNA". It matches the Rfam family "Bacterial small subunit ribosomal RNA", at positions 28 to 456 of the family's 1533-position model. Lineage: Bacteria; Bacillati; Bacillota; Clostridia; Lachnospirales; Lachnospiraceae. The record is from RNAcentral.
GAUGAACGCUGGCGGCGUGCUUAACACAUGCAAGUCGAACGAAGCUGUUAGAAGGAAGUCUUCGGAUGGAAUUUUGGUAGACUUAGUGGCGGACGGGUGAGUAACGCGUGGAUAACCUGCCUUAUACAGGGGGAUAACGGAGAGAAAUUUCCGCUAAGACCGCAUAAGACCACAGCACCGCAUGGUGCAGGGGUAAAAUAUUUAUAGGUAUAAGAUGGAUCCGCGUCCGAUUAGCUAGUUGGUGAGGUAAAGGCCCACCAAGGCGACGAUCGGUAGCCGGCCUGAGAGGGCGAACGGCCACAUUGGGACUGAGACACGGCCCAAACUCCUACGGGAGGCAGCAGUGGGGAAUAUUGGACAAUGGGGGAAACCCUGAUCCAGCGACGCCGCGUGAGUGAAGAAGUAUUUCGGUAUGUAAAGCUCUAUCAGCAGGGAAGAAAAUGACA